AUUGAACGCUGGCGGAAUGCUUUACACAUGCAAGUCGAACGGCAGCACGGGGGCAGCCCUGGUGGCGAGUGGCGAACGGGUGAGUAGUACAUCGGAACGUGCCCGGUCGUGGGGGAUAACGUAGCGAAAGUUACGCUAAUACCGCAUACGAUCUGAGGAUGAAAGCGGGGGACCUUCGGGCCUCGCGCGAUCGGAGCGGCCGAUGUCAGAUUAGGUAGUUGGUGGGGUAAAGGCCUACCAAGCCGACGAUCUGUAGCUGGUCUGAGAGGACGACCAGCCACACUGGGACUGAGACACGGCCCAGACUCCUACGGGAGGCAGCAGUGGGGAAUUUUGGACAAUGGGCGCAAGCCUGAUCCAGCCAUUCCGCGUGCAGGACGAAGGCCUUCGGGUCGUAAACUGCUUUUGUACGGAACGAAAAGGCUCUGGCUAAUACCUGGGGCUCAUGACGGUACCGUAAGAAUAAGCACCGGCUAACUACGUG
RNAcentral lists this ribosomal RNA (484 nucleotides) under uncultured bacterium. RNAcentral's name for it is "partial 16S ribosomal RNA". It matches the Rfam family "Bacterial small subunit ribosomal RNA", at positions 29 to 507 of the family's 1533-position model. The record is from RNAcentral.